GGGGUGAUGUUCUGUGACAGAGCUUGCAAAAGUUUAAAGAAGGCAGUGGACGGGUGAAAAGUUAAACGCAUCUGAGACCCACAAGGACUCCUAAAACUGCUCGCCCCGACAAAUGCUAGAAGUUUUCCACGGCAGGAAGUUAGAAAGGGCCUGUCUGAGAUGCCCAGUGAGGGAGUGGCAGAAGCACAAGGACCAUGGUGUAAUUUACAACAGCAAAACAUCGGAAACAACCCAAACAUCCAUUAAUAGGAACUGACUGAAUGGUAUAUUCACACAAUGAUAUACUAUAGAACUAUAAAAAGGAAUUUUUUAAAAAGCUCUAUGCUCUACCAUGGAAUGAUCACCAGGAUGUUUUAUUAGAAAUCUGAUCUGAAUCUAAUCAUGAAGAAAGUGACAAAUUCCUGAACAUGGGGCAUUCAAUGGGACAACUGGACUCUACAAAAUCUUUGAUACCGUGAAAAAGAUAUCCUAGAUUGCUGGAAGACUAAAAGAACAUAAUGGCCAAAUGCAAUGAACAAACUUUGAUUGGAUUUUGGGGCAGAACAAAUAACCAGGUGUGAUUAUGAUGUUGUGCUCGUCAAGAAAAAAGUGUACUUAUCCUUGAGAAAUGCAGACUGAAGAAUUGAGGAGUAGACUACAGAUUCAAUGCAAUUCCUAUCAAAAUUCCAACAGCAUUUUUCACAAAAAUAGAAACAACAACCCUAAAAGUCAAAUGGAACUGCAAAAGACCUCAAAUAGCUGAAGUAAACCUGAGCAAGACCAAAGCUGGAGGUAUCACAUUUCCUUAU
Molecule: long non-coding RNA, 788 nt
Organism: Orcinus orca (killer whale)
Lineage: Eukaryota; Metazoa; Chordata; Mammalia; Artiodactyla; Delphinidae
Exons: 4
Source: RefSeq, a predicted model, not a curated record